RNAcentral lists this ribosomal RNA (705 nucleotides) under Listeria monocytogenes. RNAcentral's name for it is "partial 23S ribosomal RNA". It matches the Rfam family "Bacterial large subunit ribosomal RNA", at positions 1570 to 2275 of the family's 2925-position model. Lineage: Bacteria; Bacillati; Bacillota; Bacilli; Caryophanales; Listeriaceae. The record is from RNAcentral.
GAAGGAAAUUAAGUACGGAAGUUCCUGAUUUCACGCUGUCAAGAAAAGCCUCUAGGAAGAGUAGUACUGCCCGUACCGCAAACCGACACAGGUAGAUGAGGAGAGAAUCCUAAGGUGAGCGAGAGAACUCUCGUUAAGGAACUCGGCAAAAUGACCCCGUAACUUCGGGAGAAGGGGUGCUCUAUUAGGGUGCAAGCCCGAGAGAGCCGCAGUGAAUAGGCCCAGGCGACUGUUUAGCAAAAACACAGGUCUCUGCAAAACCGUAAGGUGACGUAUAGGGGCUGACGCCUGCCCGGUGCUGGAAGGUUAAGAGGAGUGCUUAGCUUCGGCGAAGGUACGAAUUGAAGCCCCAGUAAACGGCGGCCGUAACUAUAACGGUCCUAAGGUAGCGAAAUUCCUUGUCGGGUAAGUUCCGACCCGCACGAAAGGCGCAACGAUCUGGGCACUGUCUCAACGAGAGACUCGGUGAAAUUAUAGUACCUGUGAAGAUGCAGGUUACCCGCGACAGGACGGAAAGACCCCGUGGAGCUUUACUGCAACCUGAUAUGGAAUGUUUGUACCGCUUGUACAGGAUAGGUAGGAGCCGAAGAGACGUGUGCGCUAGCAUACGAGGAGGCAAUGGUGGGAUACUACCCUGGCUGUAUGACCAUUCUAACCCGCCACGCUUAGCGCGUGGGGAGACAGUGUCAGGUGGGCAGUUUGACU